RNAcentral lists this long non-coding RNA (372 nucleotides) under Vicia faba (fava bean). Lineage: Eukaryota; Viridiplantae; Streptophyta; Magnoliopsida; Fabales; Fabaceae. The record is from RNAcentral.
AUGCAUAUGGGAAGACGUUCCCUCAAACUAAUGGAAUCGGGCGCAACUUGCGUUCAAAGACUCGAUGGUUCACGGAAUUUUGUAAUGCACACCAAGUAUCGCAUUUCGCUACGUUCUUCAUCGAUGCAAGAGCCUAGAUAUCCGUUGACGAGAGUCAUUCUAUAUCAUGUGUCAAAACACAACCCGCACGAAAACUGUCUCUGGUGCCAUGCAGGAAUCGACAAUGAUCCUUCCGCAGGUUCACCUACGGAAACCUUGUUACGACUUCUCCUUCUUCUAAAUGAUAAGGUUCAAUGGACUUCUCACAACAUCGCGGGCAACGGACCGCCCACGUCACCGCAAUCCAAACACUUCACCGGACCAUCAUCAUGA